Molecule: transfer RNA, 63 nt
Filed under: Dipodomys ordii (Ord's kangaroo rat)
Lineage: Eukaryota; Metazoa; Chordata; Mammalia; Rodentia; Heteromyidae
Rfam family: tRNA
About the family: Transfer RNA (tRNA) molecules are approximately 80 nucleotides in length. Their secondary structure includes four short double-helical elements and three loops (D, anti-codon, and T loops). Further hydrogen bonds mediate the characteristic L-shaped molecular structure. tRNAs have two regions of fundamental functional importance: the anti-codon, which is responsible for specific mRNA codon recognition, and the 3' end, to which the tRNAs corresponding amino acid is attached (by aminoacyl-tRNA synthetases). tRNAs cope with the degeneracy of the genetic code in two manners: having more than one tRNA (with a specific anti-codon) for a particular amino acid; and 'wobble' base-pairing, i.e. permitting non-standard base-pairing at the 3rd anti-codon position.
Source: Rfam by way of RNAcentral
GGGAGUGUAGCUUAGUGGUAGAGCGCUUGCCUAGCAUGCAUGAAGCCCUGGAUUCCAUUCCUC